This 468-nucleotide ribosomal RNA is filed under the name uncultured bacterium. RNAcentral describes it as "partial 16S ribosomal RNA". It matches the Rfam family "Bacterial small subunit ribosomal RNA", at positions 28 to 507 of the family's 1533-position model. The record is from RNAcentral.
GACGAACGCUGGCGGCGUGCUUAACACAUGCAAGUCGAACGGAAAGGCCCUGCUUUUGUGGGGUGCUCGAGUGGCGAACGGGUGAGUAACACGUGAGUAACCUGCCCUUGACUUUGGGAUAACCUCAGGAAACUGGGGCUAAUACCGGAUAGGAGAUGCCGCUGCAUGGUGGGGGGUGGAAAGUUUCGGCGGUUGGGGAUGGACUCGAGGCUAUUCCGCUUGUUGGUGGGGUAGUGGCCUACCCAGGGAGUGACGGGUAACCGGCCUGGGGGGGGGACCGGCACACUGGGGCCUAGGAUAGGGCCCAGAUCCCAACGGGGGGCAGCGGGGGGAAUUAUGGAACAAUGGGGGGAAGCCGGUGGCGGGAACGCCGGGGGCGGAAGGACGGCUUGGGGGUGGAAAACUGCUUUCGCCGGGGACGAGGCGGGAGUGACGGUACCGGGAGAAGAAGCACCGGCUAACUACGUG